This 334-nucleotide unclassified non-coding RNA is filed under the name soil metagenome. RNAcentral describes it as "partial contains 5.8S ribosomal RNA, internal transcribed spacer 2, and large subunit ribosomal RNA". The stretch from base 1 to 120 matches the Rfam family "5.8S ribosomal RNA", at positions 35 to 154 of the family's 154-position model. The record is from RNAcentral.
GAUGAAGAACGCAGCGAAAUGCGAUAAGUAAUGUGAAUUGCAGAAUUCAGUGAAUCAUCGAAUCUUUGAACGCACAUUGCGCCCCCCAGUAUUCUGGCGGGCAUGCCUGUUCGAGCGUCAUUUCAACCAUCAAGCCCUGCUUGUGUUGGGGUCCUGCGGCUGCCCGCAGGCCCUGAAAACCAGUGGCGGGCUCGCUAGUCACACCGAGCGCAGUAGCACAUCUCGCUCAGGGCGUGCGGCGGGCUCCAGUCGUUAAAGCACCCACCUUUCGCAAGGUUGACCUCGGAUCAGGUAGGAAUACCCGCUGAACUUAAGCAUAUCAAUAAGCGGAGGA